GUGGGGAAUAUUGGGCAAUGGGCGAAAGCCUGACCCAGCAACGCCGCGUGAGGGAAGAAGGGUUUCGGCUCGUAAACCUCUGUCCUAUGGGACGAAGGAAGUGACGGUACCAUAGGAGGAAGCCCCGGCUAACUACGUGCCAGCAGCCGCGGUAAUACGUAGGGGGCGAGCGUUGUCCGGAAUGAUUGGGCGUAAAGGGCGCGUAGGCGGCCUGCUAAGUCUGGAGUGAAAGUCCUGCUUUCAAGGUGGGAAUUGCUUUGGAUACUGGGAGGCUGGAGUGCAGGAGAGGAAAGCGGAAUUACCGGUGUAGCGGUGAAAUGCGUAGAGAUCGGUAGGAACACCAGUGGCGAAGGCGGCUUUCUGGACUGAAACUGACGCUGAGGCGCGAAAGCGUGGGGAGCAAACAGG
This 408-nucleotide ribosomal RNA is filed under the name uncultured bacterium. RNAcentral's name for it is "bacterial SSU rRNA". It matches the Rfam family "Bacterial small subunit ribosomal RNA", at positions 354 to 776 of the family's 1533-position model. The record is from RNAcentral.